AGUGAACGCUGGCGGUAGGCCUAACACAUGCAAGUCGAACGGCAGCACAGUAAGAGCUUGCUCUUACGGGUGGCGAGUGGCGGACGGGUGAGGAAUACAUCGGAAUCUACUUUUUCGUGGGGGAUAACGUAGGGAAACUUACGCUAAUACCGCAUACGACCUACGGGUGAAAGCAGGGGAUCUUCGGACCUUGCGCGAUUGAAUGAGCCGAUGUCGGAUUAGCUAGUUGGCGGGGUAAAGGCCCACCAAGGCGACGAUCCGUAGCUGGUCCGAGAGGAUGAUCAGCCACACUGGAACUGAGACACGGUCCAGACUCCUACGGGAGGCAGCAGUGGGGAAUAUUGGACAAAGGGCGCAAGCCUGAUCCAGCCAUACCGCGUGGGUGAAGAAGGCCUUCGGGUUGUAAAGCCCUUUUGUUGGGAAAGAAAAGCGGCAGGUUAAUACCCCGCUGUUCUGACGGUACCCAAAGAAUAAGCACCGGCUAACUUCGUG
RNAcentral lists this ribosomal RNA (492 nucleotides) under uncultured bacterium. RNAcentral's name for it is "partial 16S ribosomal RNA". It matches the Rfam family "Bacterial small subunit ribosomal RNA", at positions 29 to 507 of the family's 1533-position model. The record is from RNAcentral.